This 77-nucleotide transfer RNA is filed under the name Acinetobacter johnsonii. RNAcentral describes it as "tRNA-Ile". It matches the Rfam family "tRNA", at positions 14 to 71 of the family's 71-position model. Rfam says of the family: Transfer RNA (tRNA) molecules are approximately 80 nucleotides in length. Their secondary structure includes four short double-helical elements and three loops (D, anti-codon, and T loops). The record is from RNAcentral. Lineage: Bacteria; Pseudomonadati; Pseudomonadota; Gammaproteobacteria; Moraxellales; Moraxellaceae.
AAGAUUGACGAUUGGUAAGUUAGAGCACACGCUUGAUAAGCGUGGGGUCACAAGUUCAAGUCUUGUCAGACCCACCA